RNAcentral lists this ribosomal RNA (1413 nucleotides) under uncultured bacterium. RNAcentral's name for it is "bacterial SSU rRNA". It matches the Rfam family "Bacterial small subunit ribosomal RNA". The record is from RNAcentral.
AGAGUUUGAUCCUGGCUCAGGAUGAAUGCUAGCGGCAGGCUUAACACAUGCAAGUCGAGGGGCAGCGGGGCGGCAGGCUUGCCUGCCGCCGCCGGCGACCGGCGCACGGGUGAGUAACACGUAUGCAACCUGCCCGUGGCAGGGGGAUAAGCGGGGGAAACCCCGUCUAAUACCGCGUAACGCGGCCUUGGGGCAUCCCCGGGCCGCCAAAGGGAGCAAUCCCGGCCACGGAUGGGCAUGCGGCGCAUUAGCUAGUCGGCGGGGUAACGGCCCACCGAGGCGACGAUGCGUAGGGGUUCUGAGAGGAAGGCCCCCCACACUGGUACUGAGACACGGACCAGACUCCUACGGGAGGCAGCAGUGAGGAAUAUUGGUCAAUGGGCGCGAGCCUGAACCAGCCAAGUCGCGUGAGGGAAGACGGCCCUACGGGUUGUAAACCUCUUUUGCCGGGGAGCAACGGGCGCCACGUGUGGCGCCACUGAGAGUACCCGGAGAAAAAGCAUCGGCUAACUCCGUGCCAGCAGCCGCGGUAAUACGGAGGAUGCGAGCGUUAUCCGGAUUUAUUGGGUUUAAAGGGUGCGUAGGCGGAGCGUUAAGUCAGUGGUCAAAUUGAGGGGCUCAACCCCUUCCCGCCAUUGAAACUGGCGCUCUUGAGUGGAAGAGAAGUAUGCGGGAAUCCGUGGGUUACGGUGAAAUGCAUAGAUAUCAAGCCGGAACCCCGAUUGCGAAGGCAGCAAGCCGGCUUUCCUUCUGACGCUGAAGCACGAAAGCGUGGGGGAUCGAACAGGAUUAGAUACCCUGGUAGUCCACGCGGUAAACGAUGAGCGCUAGGUGUCCGGGGGGAAUGGCCCCUGGGUGCCACAGCGAAAGCGUUAAGCGCUCCACCUGGGGAGUACGCCGGCAACGGUGAAACUCAAAGGAAUUGACGGGGACCCGCACAAGCGGUGGAGCAUGUGGUUUAAUUCGAAGCUACGCGAAGAACCUUACCUGGCCUUGACAUCCCGAUGACCGUCCAGUAACGUGGACCUCCCUUCGGGGCAUCGGAGACAGGUGGUGCAUGGUUGUCGUCAGCUCGUGUCGUGAGAUGUUGGGUUAAGUCCCGCAACGAGCGCAACCCCUAUCUUCAGUAGCCAGCAUAUAGGAUGGGCACUCUGGAGAGACUGCCAGGGACAACCUGGAGGAAGGUGGGGACGACGUCAAAUCAUCAUGCCCCUUAUGGCCAGGGCUACACACGUGCUACAAUGGCGUAAACAAAGGGAGGCGAGCCCGCGAGGGGGAGCAAAUCCCAGAAAUAACGUCUCAGUUCGGAUUGUAGUCUGCAACUCGACUACAUGAAGCUGGAAUCGCUAGUAAUCGCGAAUCAGAAUGUCGCGGUGAAUACGUUCCCGGGUCUUGCACACACCGCCCGUCAAG